AGAGUUUGAUCCUGGCUCAGAACGAACGCUGGCGGCAUGCCUAACACAUGCAAGUCGAACGAAGCCUUCGGGCUUAGUGGCGCACGGGUGCGUAACACGUGGGAAUCUGCCCUUCGGUUCGGAAUAACAGUUAGAAAUGACUGCUAAUACCGGAUGAUGACGUAAGUCCAAAGAUUUAUCGCCGAAGGAUGAGCCCGCGUAGGAUUAGGUAGUUGGUAGGGUAAUGGCCUACCAAGCCGACGAUCCUUAGCUGGUCUGAGAGGAUGAUCAGCCACACUGGGACUGAGACACGGCCCAGACUCCUACGGGAGGCAGCAGUGGGGAAUAUUGGACAAUGGGCGAAAGCCUGAUCCAGCAAUGCCGCGUGAGUGAUGAAGGCCUUAGGGUUAUAAAGCUCUUUUACCAGGGAUGAUAAUGACAGUACCUGGAGAAUAAGCUCCGGCUAACUCCGUG
Molecule: ribosomal RNA, 453 nt
Filed under: uncultured bacterium
Lineage: Bacteria
Description: bacterial SSU rRNA
Rfam family: Bacterial small subunit ribosomal RNA
Source: RNAcentral